This is a long non-coding RNA of Cotesia glomerata, 1715 nucleotides long. RefSeq lists it as uncharacterized. Lineage: Eukaryota; Metazoa; Arthropoda; Insecta; Hymenoptera; Braconidae. The transcript is spliced from 4 exons. The record is from RefSeq and is a predicted model, not a curated record.
CUGCUGGAUGCACUAGGUGCAUCACAGCACAGAUCUGCAAUAAUCUUUAAGAUGAAAAUUAGAAUAUACAGUACAACUUACUUAUAAGUUAUAUUUCUUUCUCUCUUCUACGAACAUGAAAUAUUUCAAACAUAGAUAUAACAGCUGUGAGAGUGAGUAAGGUAAAAGUUUCUAUUAUGAGACGAUGUCCCCAUUUAUGAUACACUACAUAAAAAUACUAUUUUAUGAAAACAAACACACCGCUAGCAUACCAAAAAUAUAAUAAAUAUUUCAAUUCACAUAUUUCAAAAGCAAUUUUCGACUUUUGCUCUUAAUUAAUUCCAUACUGUUUUUAAAAAAUAUUUAUUAAAGUGCGAGGUUUGUUAUCUGUGCUCAAAGCCACGACCGAGAAUAGUAAAACGGUAACGGCUACCUAGUUUCUUAUAUUAGUUUAAUUUCAUUGUCUCUUCUACUUUUAUGUUAAAUUGUAUAUCAAUUGAAAGCUGAUGAGUCAUAGACUUUAUUUCUAUACAUAUUUAUGCAUUUUUUUUAUUACAAUAUUUUAAAUCUGAGUGCCCCGGUUUAUGAGACACUUUACUAGGUGUACCAUGUAACACGGACAUGUGUAUUUCGGCUUGUCCCGAUUAAGUGAGAAGUGUACAUUUAUAAGAUUUUAUAUUGUUAAUAUGUUAUAUUAAUUAUAAAAAUAGUGCAAUUAUAUGUCAUAAAAUAUUGGCUGUUAUUAAAACCUCAAAUAUUUUUCUAAAAACUAAGUAAAAAGUAAUUUAUAAUAAAAAGCUGAGAUAAUGAGGCAUAAACAAAAUCCUAAAGAGACAAAGACUCAAUCAUCAAAUUCAACCAAAAAAAAGUGUUGUGUUCCAAUGUGAAUAAUAAACUGAAGAAAAAAAAGUUAAAAAGCUUAAGUAAUUAUGAUUCGUCAAAUAUAGAAAAAGCUUUAAAAGCAAUAGAAGACACAGAGCUGUCCUUGAGAAAAGCAGCUGCUGUUUAUGGAGUACCGAUUGCUACCUUUGUUAGAUGAAAAAGUAUUAGUCCUGAGAAGGCAAAAAUUAGAACUGAGCCAGCGACAGUAUUAUCUUUAAAAGAAGAGGAUGUUAUUGUUCAGUUGUUAUUCUACAGAGCAGCAAUAGGGUCACCUGUGACGAAAACUGACUUAUUAAAGAUGUAUUACAAUUUUUUAUUAUCUUAGACAAAAUCAUUCUAAUGUAAUAAACUGUGAAUAAAAUAAUUUAACUAAUGAUGGACAACUUUUUACGGUUAUAUAUGAAUCUAGUCAAGUUAGUCUUCAAGAAUCAUUAACUGAUAGCAAUAAUGUAAUACGGUGCCCUUCUAAAGACUUUAGUGAACACAGCCUAAUUGAUCAAACUAUCUCUACUGAUGAUACAAACUUAGAUAUGUCUGUACAGCUCAGAUAGAUUACAACAGAGCUCACAAAUAUUCAUCCUACAAAUCCUAUAAACAACAAAAUUUAUCAAUUAGAAUUUAUGGAAGAAAAUUUGGAUCCUACGCCUGCAAUGAUUGACGAACAUCGUUUUAUUCAUAAGUUUUCAUCAAUAACUGUUGAUAACGAUAAAUCUCCCGAAAAACCUCUGAAAGAAAUAUUCAAUUUGCCGUUGGAUUAUUUACUGAAGAAAAAAAUAAUAAAAAUUGAAAAAACAGGCAAGUCAAAGUUACCAUCUGUGGGGAUCUCUGAUUAAUGGUACAAACAAUUAAAAACA